CCUACGGGUGGCAGCAGUGAGGAAUAUUUGUCAAUGGACGAGAGUCUGAACCAGCCAAGUAGCGUGAAGGAUGACUGCCCUAUGGGUUGUAAACUUCUUUUAUGUGGGAGUAAAAUGUUCCACGUGUGGGAUUUUGUAUGUACCAUAUGAAUAAGGAUCGGCUAACUCCGUUCCAGCAGCCGCGGUAAUACGGAGGAGCCGUGCGUUAUCCGGAUUUAUUGGGUUUAAAGGGAGCGUAGGUGGUUUGUUAAGUCAGUUGUGAAAGUUUGCGGCUCAACCGUAACAUUGCAGUUGAAACUGGCAGACUUGAGUACAGUAGAGGUGGGCGGAAUUCGUGGUGUAGCGGUGAAAUGCGUAGAUAUCACGAAGAACUCCGAUUGCGAAGGCAGCUCCCUGGACUGCAACUGACGCUGAGGCACGAAAGUGUGGGUAUCAAACAGGAUUAGAUACCCCAGUAGUC
Molecule: ribosomal RNA, 460 nt
Filed under: uncultured bacterium
Lineage: Bacteria
Description: partial 16S ribosomal RNA
Rfam family: Bacterial small subunit ribosomal RNA
Source: RNAcentral